AUUGAACGCUGGCGGCAGGCCUAACACAUGCAAGUCGAGCGGAUGAAGGGAGCUUGCUCCUGGAUUCAGCGGCGGACGGGUGAGUAAUGCCUAGGAAUCUGCCUGGUAGUGGGGGAUAACGUCCGGAAACGGGCGCUAAUACCGCAUACGUCCUGAGGGAGAAAGUGGGGGAUCUUCGGACCUCACGCUAUCAGAUGAGCCUAGGUCGGAUUAGCUAGUUGGUGGGGUAAAGGCCUACCAAGGCAACGAUCCGUAACUGGUCUGAGAGGAUGAUCAGUCACACUGGAACUGAGACACGGUCCAGACUCCUACGGGAGGUAGCAGUGGGGAAUAUUGGACAAUGGGCGAAAGCCUGAUCCAGCCAUGCCGCGUGUGUGAAGAAGGUCUUCGGAUUGUAAAGCACUUUAAGUUGGGAGGAAGGGCAGUAAGUUAAUACCUUGCUGUUUUGACGUUACCAACAGAAUAAGCACCGGCUAACUUCGUG
This 484-nucleotide ribosomal RNA is filed under the name uncultured bacterium. RNAcentral's name for it is "partial 16S ribosomal RNA". It matches the Rfam family "Bacterial small subunit ribosomal RNA", at positions 30 to 507 of the family's 1533-position model. The record is from RNAcentral.